Molecule: ribosomal RNA, 250 nt
Filed under: uncultured bacterium
Lineage: Bacteria
Description: partial 16S ribosomal RNA
Rfam family: Bacterial small subunit ribosomal RNA
Source: RNAcentral
UACGUAGGUGGCAAGCGUUGUCCGGAUUUACUGGGCGUAAAGCGAACGCAGGCGGAUUGUUAAGUAGGAAGUGAAAGGUUGGAGCUCAACUCCGACACUGCUCCCUAUACUGGCAGUCUUGAGUACUGGAGAGGAAAGCGGAACGACACGUGUAGCGGUGAAAUGCGUUGAUAUGUGUCGGAACACCAAUGGCGAAAGCAGCUUUCUGGACAGAGACUGACGCUGAGGUUCGAAAGCCAAGGUAGCAAAC